CAGGGAGACAACAAAAUGUUUAAUAUUAUUAUUUUGUCACCUUAGGUCGAUCGGUAUCUCACAUUCUUAAUUUAUUAAGGAUUUUAUUUCCUAAGUUUUUCUAGGUCACACCCAUUAUUUUUCCUGGGCCAUUAGCUCAGGUGGUUAGAGCGCACCCCUGAUAAGGGUGAGGUCCCUGGUUCAAGUCCAGGAUGGCCCAUAUCUCUAUGUUGGGGGUAUAGCUCAGUUGGUAGAGCGCCUGCUUUGCAAGCAGGAUGUCAGCGGUUCGAGUCCGCUUACCUCCACUGAUUACCACCUCUUCCAUAAUCUAUAGAAAGGAAAUGUUUUGAGUUGUGAUCAAAUUCUGAACGAAUCUAGCUUCCUAAUCAAAUCAUUAAGAUGCUGGACUCAUUGAAUUAACUUCAUUGUUUUCAGAGAACCUUGACAACUGCAUAGAUUAUUUUUAAAGACAAUAAGCAUCUUUAAUGAUGCAGAUUUAUUAUUUGUGCAAAUGCAUUAAUAACAAUUCUAUUAAGCUGAUGCUUCAAUAUUUGAAGUUAUU
This 541-nucleotide transfer RNA is filed under the name uncultured cyanobacterium. RNAcentral describes it as "partial contains 16S ribosomal RNA, 16S-23S ribosomal RNA intergenic spacer, and 23S ribosomal RNA". The stretch from base 212 to 284 matches the Rfam family "tRNA". Lineage: Bacteria; Bacillati; Cyanobacteriota. The record is from RNAcentral.